Molecule: ribosomal RNA, 354 nt
Filed under: uncultured Veillonellaceae bacterium
Lineage: Bacteria; Bacillati; Bacillota; Negativicutes; Veillonellales; Veillonellaceae
Description: partial 16S ribosomal RNA
Source: RNAcentral
GGAGUCUGGACCGUGUCUCAGUUCCAAUGUGGCCGUUCAUCCUCUCAGACCGGCUACUGAUCGUCGCCUUGGUAGGCCGUUACCCCACCAACUAGCUAAUCAGACGCAGACCCAUCGCAAAGCGAUAGCUUACAAGUAGAGGCCAUCUUUAAUCAAGCUCCCAUGCGGAAACUUGACAACAUUCGGUAUUAGCAGUCCUUUCGGACUGUUGUCCCCAUCUUUGCGGCAGGUUGUCCACGCGUUACUCACCCGUUUGCCACUAGGCUCAUAAAAGCAAGCUUUCAAUCGCCCCGUUCGACUUGCAUGUGUUAAGCACGCCGCCAGCGUUCGUCCUCGAGCCACUGAUCAAACUCU